ACGAACGCUGGCGGCGUGCUUAACACCUGCAAGUCGAACGCUGAAGCACCAGCUUGCUGGUGUGGAUGAGUGGCGAGCGGGUGAGUAAUACGUGAGUAACCUGCCCUUGACUCUGGGAUAAGCCCGGGAAACUAGGUCUAAUACUGGAUGCUACAUGUCACCGCAUGGUGGUGUGUGGAAAGGGUUUACUGGUCUUGGAUGGGCUCACGGCCUAUCAGCUUGUUGGUGAGGUAAUGGCUCACCAAGGCGACGACGGGUAGCCGGCCUGAGAGGGUGACCGGCCGCACUGGGACUGAGACACGGCCCAGACUCCUACGGGAGGCAGAAGUGGGGAAUCUUGAACGAGGGGCGAAAGCCGGAUGCAGCGACGCCGCGGGAGGGAUGACGGCCUUCGGGUUGUAAACCUCUUUCAGCAGGGAAGAAGCCACAAGUGACGGUACCUGAAGAAGAAGCGCCGGCUAACUACGUG
This 469-nucleotide ribosomal RNA is filed under the name uncultured bacterium. RNAcentral's name for it is "partial 16S ribosomal RNA". It matches the Rfam family "Bacterial small subunit ribosomal RNA", at positions 29 to 507 of the family's 1533-position model. The record is from RNAcentral.